CGGGACGGGUGAGUAAUGUCUGGGAAACUGCCCGAUGGAGGGGGGUAACUACUGGAAACGGUAGCUAAUACCGCAUAACGUCGCAAGACCAAAGAGGGGGGACUUAGGGCCUCUUGCCAUCGGAUGUGCCCAGAUGGGAUUAGCUAGUAGGUGGGGUAAUGGCUCACCUAGGCGACGAUCCCUAGCUGGUCUGAGAGGAUGAUCAGCCACACUGGGACUGAGACACGGCCCAG
RNAcentral lists this ribosomal RNA (233 nucleotides) under uncultured bacterium. RNAcentral's name for it is "partial 16S ribosomal RNA". It matches the Rfam family "Bacterial small subunit ribosomal RNA", at positions 100 to 334 of the family's 1533-position model. The record is from RNAcentral.